CUGUAUGAACAAAUUGGCGUGGUCUAAGUUGCCCUUUGAGAUUACCGCUGAAGUGGCAGCCAUUUGUUUUCGUCUCACUCCACGUUGCAUCAAACAACCUCACGUUGAAUCAUUCAAGCUCAAAACUAUGCAAGAGCAAGCAUAUCACAACCAAACCACAAUGGAUCUGAGGAAUCGGUGUACAUGUGCGUAAAAACUUUGUCGUGCUGCUAAUGAAGUUAUUAGCCUUAAAAUGGGUAAAAUAAGCUUUUACUUGAAAAUGAAUAAGAAGAUUCAGAGUGAUGCUCUAAAAAUGAAGAAUCAAGCUAGUGACUUAAAAUACUAUUGUACAAACAGUCCAUUUUAUUUGUUCAUUUUGGUGGCAGUCACAAUCUGAUGUGCUGCUUAUCAUUUUCUGGAAUGUGGUUCAUGACUGCAUUCCCCACCUCUGGAUGAUAAAAGUCCAAUCAAAUGUUACCAGUAUAUGAGAAUGUUUGAAUGCAAGGAUUACACUGAUGAAGAACCUAAAAAGAAUAACUUCAUGCUUCAUACCUGUACCACAAUAAAAGGUUGUGCAGCUGUGCUAUAUAUGUGAUUCUACAUUCAUUUUGACUAUGUGGAAUAUACUGACUUGUUUCAAUCAAAUUGCAAAUAUCUGAAUCUAGGGUUAUGGGUCAGUGUUAGACUUUUACUUGAACACAGUCAAUAUCAGUCAUUAAUAGAUUGGGCAAAAAGACCAACCCUUUUAGUUUUCUAUGGACAGAAUCAUGUGGGCACCACACACUGCCAAUAUCUGAGCUAGUUUUUAUAUGAUUUUGUAUAGUGUUCCCCAUUGCCUGUAGCCUGGAGUGUGUCAAUGAGGGGGAGGUGGUUGUUGGAUUGGGGCUGCAAUUCCUUGGAAAUGCACUAAUGCUCAGCAGAAAUCUUAUAUUCAUUCUUUUGUUGAACCAAUAAAUGGCGGAAAUAGA
Molecule: long non-coding RNA, 947 nt
Organism: Nematostella vectensis (starlet sea anemone)
Lineage: Eukaryota; Metazoa; Cnidaria; Anthozoa; Actiniaria; Edwardsiidae
Exons: 2
Source: RefSeq, a predicted model, not a curated record